UACGUAGGGGGCAAGCGUUGUUCGGAAUUACUGGGCGUAAAGGGCCAGUAGGCGGCCAACUAAGUCACACGUGAAAUCCCCAGGCUUAACCUGGGAACUGCGUGUGAUACUGGAUGGCUUGAAUUCGGGAGAGGGAUGCAGAAUUCCAGGUGUAGCGGUGAAAUGCGUAGAUAUCUGGAGGAAUACCGGUGGCGAAGGCGGCAUCCUGGACCGAGAUUGACGCUGAACGGCGAAAGCUAGGGGAGCAAACGGG
RNAcentral lists this ribosomal RNA (253 nucleotides) under uncultured bacterium. RNAcentral's name for it is "partial 16S ribosomal RNA". It matches the Rfam family "Bacterial small subunit ribosomal RNA", at positions 524 to 776 of the family's 1533-position model. The record is from RNAcentral.